AGCGAACGCUGGCGGCAUGCCUAACACAUGCAAGUCGAACGAACUCUUCGGAUUUAGUGGCGGACGGGUGCGUAACACGUGGGAACGUGCCUUUUGGUUCGGAAUAACUCAGGGAAACUUGUGCUAAUACCGAAUGUUCCCUUCGGGGGAAAGAUUUAUCGCCAUUAGAGCGGCCCGCGUCUGAUUAGCUAGUUGGUGUGGUAACGGCUUACCAAGGCGACGAUCAGUAGCUGGUCUGAGAGGAUGACCAGCCACACUGGGACUGAGACACGGCCCAGGCUCCUACGGGAGGCAGCAGUGGGGAAUAUUGCGCAAUGGGCGAAAGCCUGACGCAGCCAUGCCGCGUGAAUGAUGAAGGUCUUAGGAUUGUAAAAUUCUUUCACCGGGGACGAUAAUGACGGUACCGGGAGAAGAAGCCCCGGCUAACUUCGUG
This 433-nucleotide ribosomal RNA is filed under the name uncultured bacterium. Its description in RNAcentral is "partial 16S ribosomal RNA". It matches the Rfam family "Bacterial small subunit ribosomal RNA", at positions 29 to 507 of the family's 1533-position model. The record is from RNAcentral.